This 253-nucleotide ribosomal RNA is filed under the name uncultured bacterium. RNAcentral describes it as "partial 16S ribosomal RNA". It matches the Rfam family "Bacterial small subunit ribosomal RNA", at positions 524 to 776 of the family's 1533-position model. The record is from RNAcentral.
UACGUAGGUGGCAAGCGUUGUCCGGAUUUACUGGGUGUAAAGGGCGUGCAGCCGGAGAGACAAGUCAGAUGUGAAAUCCACGGGCUCAACUCGUGAACUGCAUUUGAAACUGUUUCCCUUGAGUGUCGGAGAGGUAAUCGGAAUUCCUUGUGUAGCGGUGAAAUGCGUAGAUAUAAGGAAGAACACCAGUGGCGAAGGCGGAUUACUGGACGAUAACUGACGGUGGGGCGCGAAAGCGUGGGGAGCAAACAGG